GCCGCCAUGGUGAAAUCGGUAGACACGCUGCUCUUAGGAAGCAGUGCGGGAGCAUCUCGGUUCGAGUCCGAGUGGCGGCA
Molecule: transfer RNA, 80 nt
Filed under: Sisyrinchium angustifolium
Lineage: Eukaryota; Viridiplantae; Streptophyta; Magnoliopsida; Asparagales; Iridaceae
Also listed under: 2 other names
Description: tRNA-Leu
Rfam family: tRNA
About the family: Transfer RNA (tRNA) molecules are approximately 80 nucleotides in length.
Source: RNAcentral